UGCCAAAGAAAGAAUUUGUCCCAGAAUGAGGU
This 32-nucleotide non-coding RNA is filed under the name Rattus norvegicus (Norway rat). The record is from RNAcentral. Lineage: Eukaryota; Metazoa; Chordata; Mammalia; Rodentia; Muridae.